Molecule: ribosomal RNA, 603 nt
Filed under: uncultured bacterium
Lineage: Bacteria
Description: bacterial SSU rRNA
Rfam family: Bacterial small subunit ribosomal RNA (bases 1-516)
Source: RNAcentral
CCUACGGGAGGCAGCAGUGGGGAAUCUUGCGCAAUGGGCGAAAGCCUGACGCAGCAACGCCGCGUGCGGGAAGAAGGCUUUCGGGCUGUAAACCGCUUUCAGCAGGAACGAAAAUGACGGUACCUGCAGAAGAAGGAGCGGCCAACUAUGUGCCAGCAGCCGCGGUGAUACAUAGGCUUCAAGCGUUGUCCGGAUUUAUUGGGCGUAAAGAGUUCGUAGGCGGUCAAGUAAGUCGGGUGUGAAAAUUCUGGGCUCAACCCAGAGACGCCACCCGAUACUGCUUAACUUGAGUUCGAUAGGGGAGUGGGGAAUUCCUAGUGUAGCGGUGAAAUGCGCAGAUAUUAGGAGGAACACCGGUGGCGAAGGCGCCACUCUGGAUCGAUACUGACGCUGAGGACGAAAGCAUGGGUAGCAAACAGGAUUAGAUACCCUGGUAGUCCAUGCCGUAAACGGUGGGCACUAGGUGUGGGUUUCUAUUAACGAAAUCCGCGCCGUCGCUAACGCAUAGUAGCCGCCGNGGAGGUACGGUCGCGAGACGUAAACGUACGAAGAAGUAGUAACGGUCGUGUUAGACGUGCCGACGGACGACGACGAGGGAGGAGG